CGGAAAGACCCCGUGGAGCUUUACUGCAGCCUGAUAUUGAAUUCCGGUGCAGCCUGUACAGGAUAGGUAGGAGCCGUGGAAACCGGAGCGCCAGCUUCGGUGGAGGCACUGGUGGGAUACUACCCUGGCUGUAUUGGACUUCUAACCCGUGCCCGUGAUCCGGGCAGGGGACCGUGUCAGGCGGGCAGUUUGACUGGGGCGGUCGCCUCCUAAAGAGUAACGGAGGCGCCCAAAGGUUCCCUCAGAAUGGUU
RNAcentral lists this non-coding RNA (252 nucleotides) under Bhargavaea cecembensis DSE10. RNAcentral's name for it is "Bacterial large subunit ribosomal RNA". It matches the Rfam family "Bacterial large subunit ribosomal RNA", at positions 2081 to 2332 of the family's 2925-position model. Lineage: Bacteria; Bacillati; Bacillota; Bacilli; Caryophanales; Caryophanaceae. The record is from Rfam by way of RNAcentral.